This is a long non-coding RNA of Ahaetulla prasina, 615 nucleotides long. RefSeq lists it as uncharacterized. The transcript has 3 exons. NCBI's taxonomy places the organism in Eukaryota, Metazoa, Chordata, Lepidosauria, Squamata, Colubridae. The record is from RefSeq and is a predicted model, not a curated record.
UGUUUACAUCAAUUCAUGCUGAUGUCACUGUAAUCUGUCUCAGUGAAGAUCUCCUUGAGUACAGUGCAAAUAUCUGCAUGAGAGACAUUUUCUUUGUCACAUUGAAUCUGAAACUGCAGAGUUUACGAAUGUCAACUUCUCAAUGCUUUCAUAGAGUGUUUGAAGACAGGAUGGAUAAGUGGGGAAUUCGUCCCAUCUUUCUACUAUUCAACUAUUACAAUCCUGUCAUAAACCAGCAGCUCACAGGGUUAAAGAAAUUUCAGUCCUGUUAUCCCAGCAGGGAGACCACACCAAAGUGGUGCAGAGAAGCUGAACAGAAACCAGAGGAGAAAGGGUGUGCCCACGUCAACUCAGACAAUCAAGAAGCAUCUCUCUGAUCUCACUUAUUACCAGUUACUUGACAUUACCUAUAAAGCAGCAACAUAUAAUCAAAUUUACCCAGCUGGCGGUUGUCAUUGGAUACCGUCAAGAAGAAAAACAUUUGUUUUAGUACCAAUAAAGAGAUAUCUUAAGGUUAUCUUACUGGUUGGGGAUGGAAUGAGUAUGGACUAGGAUAUGGUAGGAAAAAGAUUUUUCUGUGGCAUAUUUUCACUGCCAGUUGCAAAACGCCUCUAA